UUAUGCUUCUUGUUGCUGGUUUUUUGGUUGGACAUUUGAUUUCAAGGAAAAUAAGAAAAAUAAAUGAUUAGAAAACCUAGCCCCCUCCGUCUCCCUCUCCCUUGCGUUUUGAUCCGCUUCUUCUCUUUUCUUUCUCCGGCGAGAUCACGUUUGGCGAAAGGGACUCUUUACGCGGUGUCAACGACACGAGCUUCAUCUUCUCUCUUGCCUGCGAAGCCAACCCACGAAGCCAACCCACGCGACCUCCUUCGGUCACUGCGACCAUCGGCAAACCAACGACGUUUGGCGACUUCUCAGCAACCCGCGCGACCCAAACACCCUGAUAGCAACGUUUUCCCCUCCAUUUCGAAAAGACAUUUUUUAGCCUAGAAGUCUUUGAUUGGAAGUGAAGGAUCGGGAAUUUUGCACAAGAUUCUUAGGCGUCCAGUGGGGAAUGGAGAACACUGAUGUGUUCUUGGGUUUGCAUGACUUUCUUGAGCGCAUGCGUCAACCAUCUGCCUCAGAUUUCGUCAAAUCCAUUAAAAGCUUUAUUGUGUCAUUUUCGAAUAAUGCUCCCGACCCUGAAAGGGAUAGUGCUUCUGUCCAAGAAUUCUUUGCCAAAAUGGAGGGAGCUUUCAGAGCUCAUCCACUUUGGUCUGGUUGCUCAGAAGAAGAGCUGGAAAGUGCUGGUGAAGGAUUGGAGAAGUAUGUCAUGACAAAGUUAUUUUCUCGUGUCUAUGCUUCACUUGCAGAUGAUGUCAAAAUAGAUGAACAACUUUCUGAAAAAAUGGCAUUGAUUCAACAGUUCAUUAGACCAGAAAAUUUGGAUAUCAAACCAAAUUUCCAAAAUGAAACAUCAUGGUUGCUUGCUCAGAAAGAACUCCUCAAGAUUAACAUGCACAAAGCUCCAAGAGACAAACUUGUGUGUCUUCUCAGUUGUUGUAAGGUCAUCAGCAACCUGCUAUUUAAUGCUUCUAUUGCUUCAAAUGAGAAUCUUCCGGGGGCUGAUGAAUUCCUUCCCGUCCUCAUUUAUGUUAUCAUAAAGGCAAACCCUCCACAACUGCACUCAAAUUUAUUGUAUAUACAACGAUACAGGGGACAAUCCCGAUUAACUGGAGAAGCAGCAUAUUUUUUCACAAACAUACUCUCUGCCGAGUCAUUUAUCUUAAACAUUGAUGCAAAGGCCCUCUCAAUGGAAGAAAUUGAGUUCGAAAAAAACAUGGAAUCAGCUCAAGCACUCCUAUCUGGGCUCUCUAGUGAUGUUGAAGCUCUUUCUAACAAAAGUAACUUGAAUGAAGGGGUUGUUCAUUCAUCAGAACUAGUAGAAACCAGUUCUCAAGCUUCUGUUGAGCCUGCAGUUAGACCUAAGUCCACUGAAGCGAAGCCUAGAACUGAGGCACCACUUGCCAAAGAUCAGUCAGCAGUAAUGGAAGCUCCAUCGCUCUCGGAUUUGGAGAAUAAGGGAGCAGCUAUUCUUUUAAAUGAUCAGACAGGAGGAAGGCAAGCAUUCCGAGAUUAUCCAUAUUUGUUUUCUCAAGUUGGGGAUCUUACAUUUAAGGACGUCGAAGAGCUUCUCAGUCAAUACAAACAACUUGUUUUCAAGUACGUUUCCCUUUCUAGAGGACUGAGUGUCACAACUGCAUUUUCAUCUUAUUCAAAUUCUGAAAUGCAUUCCCAACAUCAUCCCGAGUCUUUCAAAGAACCUGAAGAUGUUAGAGAUGUGACAUCGAAUGAUGAGUCAGCUGGAGAGAGGCAUAGGUUAAUUGAUGGCUCAGAUGGAACCUCGCUGUUUGGAGAAGAAAAUGUCAGAUCAGGGUUACCACAAGACAAGGUAGUACUACCUCAACAUGAAGGAAACGAGGAAACAUCUCAGUCCUAGCACAUUCAACAACUUUUGUGGGGUCAAUCAAUUAAUUGUUUUCAGUCUGGUAAUUGUUUUCAGUCUGGUUAUCUUGCUUUGCUUCCUCAAAUUUCUGCCCAUCAGCAAUGAGUAAAUCUCAUGUGUAGGAGGAUAUGAUCUUUACGUAGAUGAUGAUUAAUGGCAAUAAAAAAUCAACCAAGAAAAUUUAGCCUUGAUUUUGGAUCCGGCGAUGGCCAGGAAAUCAGAUCCUCCUCCACGAAGACAAACUAAUGGCUACCGGACUCUCAAAAUUUCUUCCUGGCCUGUUUCCACAAGAUGAAUGGGAAGCAACUGUUCAUUCGACAUGGUGGAACAUGGGAUGAUAGCAAACAGUGCUAUGAUGGAGGUGUUUUGAAGGGCAUCAUGGUGUCAAGUACAUGGAGGUACCAAGAACUAGAAGACAGAGUUUACAAAAUAGUAAGGUUCAAUCGAUUUAAAUUCAACAUUGUAAUGAGGGUCCAGUAUAAGAUGGACAUGUAUGGACCUAUGGUGUGCCUAAAAGACGAUGACGACAUUAUUUUUCUAUUGGUUGAGUUGGAUCAAAUAGACCUUAUGUCAAUGUUGAGAGGAAGAUUGAAGAUAGAACCGUAGAUGAAAUACAGAAAAACAUGCAGAGAAAGAGACAAAACAUCAUGCAGAACAAUAUGCAGAAUAUGAUACAGAACAACACAAUGUUUGUGAGUCGGACAUUUUCCCUUACGUGGUGUCAAUGGGAAAUGACGACACUAAUCCAUGGGAUUCAGGUAUUACACGACAUUAUAUUGAACGAGAGAGGAUUCGUUAUAGAAGAAGUGGAUGAACCUGUGGAUAUUGAUCUUAAUGGUAAUUGUAGAGGUGAUGGGGAUGCACCAAACAUUGAGGAUAUUGGGUGAGGUAUAAUUGUAAAUAAGACAACA
Molecule: RNA transcript, 2775 nt
Organism: Benincasa hispida (wax gourd)
Lineage: Eukaryota; Viridiplantae; Streptophyta; Magnoliopsida; Cucurbitales; Cucurbitaceae
Gene name: vacuolar protein sorting-associated protein 9A-like
Source: RefSeq, a predicted model, not a curated record